AGAAUGGCGUGAACCCGCGGAGGUGGAGCUUGCAGUUGCCACUGAACUCCAGCCUGGUGACAGAGCGAGACUCUGUCUCAAAAGAAAAAAAAAACAAUGUUAUGAGCACAGAAAUAUGGGUCAAUAUUUGUCCCCUUUGAAAAAAUUUCCUGAGAUAACUUGAAGCUCACAUCUAAAUCUCUUAUAUUUGUAGCUGUGGGAGAGGAAAGACUUUUACUCUAUUUUCUUAGGUUUUGCUGCUGUGGUCUGUGAAUUGGACUGACAAAAGGCAGAUUAAUAGGAGAAAAAGCAUACAGAUUUUGUUUGAUGUUAAUAUUUUUAUGUGGUGCAGGGGGCUUCAUAGAAAGGAGUGAAAAUUCUAAGGAAGCCGUUAGGCCCAGGGUCUUCUAUAUCAUUCUCACAAAGAGAAAUAAAUAAUGGAGACAUGACAAAGCAAAGGAAAAAGAGACUCUUGGGCUACGGGUGGGGAAGUGUGGGAAAGUAACUAGAAAAUAUAUGGGGAAACUAAUGGAUAAUAAGAGUUAUUUUAUUAAUAGUAAGGCUUGCCUUUGGUGAUAAGAAUGUUCUCCUCCUUCUGGUAUAGGGAGGUCACCUUUCCCAUGGAAAUGUAUGCUUUGCCUUAAGGUAGAAAGGGGAAAGACAAAGACUCUCCCCUGCUGCUGUUUCUCAAUGGCUUUCAGCUCAAAAUAAUAAAUAUGCCAAAGUGGUAUAUCUUGGGGUGACAUGUUCUGAUCCUCUUCACAGUCUAUUUCCUCUUUUCUCAAAAGGAGCUGUAGAAAACAUUGCUCCUUCGAGACUCCAUCUCAAAAAAAAAAAAAAAAAAGGAAAACAUUGUUCCCUAAUGGUAGUUGCUGUUCAAUGUUUAUUUACUCACAUCACAGCAUAAAAGGUUGCAGUAUAAAUUAGGUGAUUAUGACUUUCUAACAGAGGAAACUAAAGUCACUUAGACUUUUAAAAUUCCUAUUCACUUCGUAGUUCAUUAGGUUUCAUUAGGCACACACGCACAUACACACAUUACAGAAGGAAACUAAAAUAUUUCAGAUUUAUGUAUGUAUGUAUGUAUGUAUUCUUUAUUUUUGAGAUGCAGUCUUGCUCUGUCGCCCAGGCUGGAGUGCAGUGGCGUGAUGCCGGCUUACUGCAACCUCUGCCUCCCCAGUUCAGUUCAAGCAAUUCUCUUGGCUCAGCUACCCUAAUAGCUGGGACUACAGGUGCGUGCAACCACGCCCAGCUAAUUUUUGUAUUUUUAGUAGAAAUGGGUUUGGCCAGGCUGGUCUUGAACUCCUGACCUCAGGUGAUCCACCCGCCUCAGCCUCCCAAAGUGCUGGGAUUACAAGCGUGAGCCACCGUGCCUGACCCUGGAUAGUUUUAAUAGUAGAGUCAAUCUGUGUCCAUUUACUAGUCAAUCCUCUUUCAUGUACAUAAUUAUUUCUAAGGAAAAAACAAAAAAAAGACCCACCCUCAUUCAAACAUCUGUAUAUUUACCGUAUAAUCCUCCUACUGGAUUUGCUCUGGAUUUAAUUUUCGAAGGCUCUAAAGUCUUUAACUGAAGCUUAAAAAACAAAUAGACUUUAGGUAUCUAGGCUUUAUUCUGAGUUCGAUGCCUCCUAAGUUUUUAAGACUUAACAAGAACCAUUUCACUUUCCAACAUUCACUUUAAAAAUGUUUUUCCAUACUUUUUCUGACUACAAAAUAUAUGUUUACAAAAUAUCAGAGUGGUUUGUCUAAUGUUAUUUGCAAAGCAGUGACUUCCUGGAGCUGUCAUUAACUAUACUAUGUCUCCCUCCCCCAAAUCCCAGGAUAAUCCCCUCUGAAGGCUUGGUAGACUUUACAGAAUUAUUAUGACAUCCUGAGUGUUCUUCAGGCUUUGAAUCACAGAAAUUAUUUUUCCAGCAUUAUAAGUUAUCUGUGAUCAUUUUACUGCCAUGUCCUCUGAAAUACUCAAGAAGACAAAGUCAAUAUGGCUGAAUUUGGCGCUGAAUUUGCUCUAUGACCUUGCAGUCUCUUGGGUCUCUGAAUGGUGCUGGCAUUACCAGGAGAGAUGGGAUGUGUGAGUAGGCCCAUACAGCAAUCAGAGGAACUCUAGACAGUUCCUACAGAGUUGCUGUCUGUAGAGGCCCCUAUAGAGUCAUCACUAAUCAUUAGCAAGUUAGCGAGGAAUUACUUAAUUCCAGAGCUAAUGCCUCAGAGCGCACUACUACAGAAAUAGGAUUUUGAUGUGAGGGGAGGUAGGAAGUGUCAUUUUGAUGCCCUGGGUGCUGCCCAAAUCUACAGAAUGCAAUGAAAGGCAGUGCUACACACCAUGGGAAUAUGAAUUACAAUGGAAGAGGAGAAAGGAGGGAAGCACAAAAAGAGGUAGAAUAGCGCCGAAUUCAUAUCAGUUUGUCUGUCUUAUAGUUUUUCUGAACGGUGGCUCUGUUUCAGAGCUAAACCGUUCAGAAAAGGGUUAGAGAAAAAUACUCUGAGCUUAUUCCCCUCCUCACUUUGAUACCUAUUUUGAAUAUUCUUUUUUAAUGGUCACAUCUGAGUUUGCCCAACUCCUAUAUAUACAGAAGCAGCAUCAUAUUGAGAGUUGUUAUAAAGUAGAUCAGUGAAAAAAAUUAAACCAAAAUGUUCACAUUUAGGUCAAAACAUUUAUAUUGCUCUCAUGAAGUAAACUGGUAAUUUUCUUGUUAUUUAAAUGAAACCUAUGACUAUAAGACAUUCUAAGAAACAAUCUUCCUUAUAGCCUCAGAUAAUGACUUCUCUGAUUGCUAGAUCUCUAUUAGCAGGACACAAACUAAUUAUAGCUGUCUGAUUGGUGUUAUUUGGGAAAAGUAAUUGUCCAAAAAAAGGGAAUAUGCAGAUAGGCUGGUUUAAUAAUUUGUAUAUCAUUUGCCCUUUGGCAAAUUUUAUUUAUAUUAACAUAUAAAUUUAUAUUAUAAACAUAUACAUUUAUAUUAACAUAUAAAUUAACUCACAAAGCAUAUUCUCUGGAACAAUUACAUAAAAUAUAACCAAGCUCAUAAAAUCUCUCUCCACACACUAGAAUUUCCCAUAAUUCAAAAUGGAAAAAGAACUCAAGAUUCUGAAAACAUGUAAGACUGCUUCACUGUGCCAUAGAAUUUUGAGUCGUUUCCAAUAAAAGACUUUCUUUAAUGUUGGGCAAAAAUGUCUUGCCAAAUAGGUCAGCAGAAGGUAGAGAAUACAAGUUUUGGGAUAUCUGCCUAGGCAUGCCAAGGCUGUUCAGUUAUUUAAUACUCUCACGUUCUACAUGUAGCUUCAAUGGCCAGAAUGCAGAUUCUGAAAACAAACAAACAAACAAGUACUUGAGAAUAAUGUUCAAUCUGUUACUAGAAAGGAGCCCCGAUCCAGACCCCAAGAGAGGGUUUUUGAUCUUGUGCAAGAAAGAAUUCAGGGCAAGUCCAUACAGUAAAGUGAAAGCAAGUUUAUUAGGAAAGUGAAGGAAUAAAAGAAUGGUUACUCCAUAGGCAGAGCAAACCCAAAGGCGGCUGGUUGCCCAUUUUUAUAAUUACUUCUUGACCAUAUGCUAAGCAAGGGGUGGAUUAUUCAUGCCUCCCCCUUUUAGACCAUAUAGGGUAACUUCCUGACAUUGCCAUGGCAUUUCUAAUUGUCAUGGUGCUGGUGGGAGUAUAGCAGUGAAGACGACCAGAGGCCACUCUUGUCACCAUCUUUGGUGGGUUUUAGCCGACUUCUUUACUGCAACCUGUUUUAUCAGCAAGGUCUUUAUGACCUGUAUCUUGUGCUGACCUCCUAUCUCAUUCUGUGAUUUAGAAUGCCUUACCUCCUGGGAAUGCAGACCAGCAGGUCUUAGCCUUAUUUUACCCAGCCCCUAUUCAAGAUGGAGUUGCUGUGGUUCAAACACCUCUGACAAAUCUACGAGAAUAAAGCCCAGAAAUCAUUGCAGCAAUUUAUGUCAUCUAGUCUCAAAAAUUCUGUUGCAACCCAGGAAGUGGAUCAUGCCUAAAAGGCUCUGAAUAGAGGAUUUAAGGAUACUGUAGUAUUUCUGAAAACUUUGAUAAAUGGCUAUGAACAUUAGAUGGUAAUUGUUUGAGUCAUCAAUGAAGAUAUUAAUAUUAAUAUUUUUCACAAGAUCCUUUUUUCAGAUUAAUGAGAUCCCUCCCUUAAUUUAUUUAUAUUUGGAGGGGGUGGUCCCAAAAUACAGAAAAUGUAAUGAAUAUCUGUGAUAAAUGCUCACCACCAAAAUGAACAAACAACUUUUAUUUUCUUCAAGAUUUUCUUUUCUUUUUAAAAUACUGUAUGUUUUCUUAACCAGGCCCAUUCUUUUCCCUUUUCCUGAAGUUUGGCAUCAUCUGGUGUACACAUCCCAAUUAUAUUUUUGUAUUUGUACUCUAUUUAUUUUAUGCAUUUUAAUGUAGUUUUGUAAUAUUCUCCAUAAAUGUCUUGACCAAUUUUUUAAAUAAUUGUGUUACAUUUUCUAAUCAUUAUUGCUGUUAAGUAUGGUGUUGUUUUUUGACAAUCAAUCUUAGAUUAGGUAAUCUUCCGCAUUCACUUAAUUUUACAAGUUAUCUAAAGGCUUUUUAGACUUCUUCUAGGAAGGCAAUUAUAUAGUCUACUGAUGAAAAUUUCCUCUCUUCUUUUCAAUCCUUAUACCCUAUAUCUCUUUUUUCUCUUAUUAUUCCUUUGGUUAGGAAUGCCAGUACAAAAUUGGGAAGUAAAACGAUUGCAGGUAUCCAUGUUUUAUUUCUUAUUUUAAUAUAAACGCUUCUUAAGUUUCACCAUUUUGACUAAUACUUGCUGUCACUGCUUAGUAGAUUCACUUGAUUAGGUAGGUGAAGUUGCCAUCUAUACACAUUUUUUGAGUUGGUUUUUCUGCUUUAUUGAGAGGAGCAUAUGGCUUUUCUCUAUCAAUCUCUGUUUUUUUUUUUUUUUUAAGACUGUCUUGCUCUGUCGUCAGGCUGGAGUGCAGUGGUGUGAUCUUGGCUCACUGCAAUCUCCGCCUCCCGGGUUCAAGUGAUUCUCCUGCCUCAGCCUCCCUAGUAGCUGGGAUUACAGGCAUGCACCACCACACCCAGCUAAUUUUGUUUUUUGGAUUUUUAGUAGAAACAGGGUUUCACCAUGUUGGCCAGGAUUGUCUCGAUCUCCUGACCUCGUGAUCUGCCCGCCUCAGCUUCCCAAAGUGCUGGGAUUACAAAUGUAAGCCACUGCGUCCGGCCUCAAUCUCUUAAUAUGGUAAAUAUUAUUAAUUUUAUAGGCUUUCCUGAUUUUUAAAUCACCUUUGGCUUCAUAGCAUGAAUCUAUUUGGUCACACACAAAUUUAAUUCAACAUGGUAAUUUUAGGACUUUUUCAUUCAUUCAUUUAGUAAGUACUCAUUGAGUACUACUUACAUGACAGGAACUUAGGCAAUAGAAGUAUAGCAGUAAUUAAAACAAAUUUUUAAGAAAUCAUUGCCUUCAUUGAUUACAUUGAAGGAAUCGGUUAACAAUUAUGAUUAAUAAGUAACAUAUAUAAUAUGUUAGACAGUGAUCACUGUUAAAGAAAAGAACAAGAAAGAGGAAAUACAAACUCUUCAAGAAGAGCUCAAAUUUAAGUUGAGUGCCCAGAGAAGUCCUCAUAAAAAUGCAAAUUUGAAAAAUGCCUGUAGAAAGGGAGCCUAGCUCUUCUGCUACCUGGGUGAAGAAUAUACCAGGCAGAGGAAACAGAAGUUAAACAACCCUGAGGUAGGAACAUUUCUGAUACAUUUGAAGAGUUAUUUGGUAACUUUUUUUUUAGAAAACUGACCAUUUCACUGAAAUUUUCAAAUUUAUUGGCAUAAAAUUAUCUAUAAUUUUAAAUUAUUUUAUUAAACUAUUGUAUUUGCAAUUCCUUAUAUUGCUGUUUUGUCACUUUUGAUUUUGAUCAGACUACCUAGAAGUUUGUCUAUUUUGUUACUAUUUUCAAAAUUAUUAUUACCUAAUAUUCUCUGUAGAUUGGAGUUGGCAAUUUACACAUUGCAUCUCUGAUGUGCAAAAAAAGUCACUUGAUAUUUCUUUUCUACCCCAGGUAACAUUCUUUCCUCUCACCCUCACAGUGGACGCUAGUAAACCUCUGCAUCUCUUCAACGUCAAACAGGAGCUGCUGAAAAUUUGGGGCUUCUGGCCCAGACCCUCCCUCUGCCUAAACACAUCAUGCUGCCAUUUUGACUCCACUGCAACUGAAUGCUAUUGGCAUGAAGAUAUUCUGUAAGCACACCUGGGUAUUAUUACUGGCAGAAGGUGUCCGGGUUCUUGGUGUUUUGAACAAAGAAUUGGACAAAAUGCACAAACAUAGCAAUGAAAGAAAAGCACAGAUUUUUUUUUUUUUUUUGAGAUGGAGUCUCGUUCUGUUGCCCAGGCUGGAAUGCAAUGGCACGAUCUCGGCUCACUGCCCUCCUGGGUUCAAGUGAUUCUUCUGCCUCAGCCUCCCAAGUAGGUGGGAUUACAGGCACCCACCACCACACCUGGCUAAUUUUUGUAUUUUUAGUAGAGACAGGGUUUCACCAUGUUGGUCAGGCUGGUUUCGAACUCCUGACCUCAUGUGAUCCACCCGCCUUGGCCUCCCAAAGUGCUGGGAUUACAGGUGUGAGCCACCACACCCGGCCUGAAAAGCACAGAUUUAUUGAAGCUAAAGUACACUCCACAGAGUGGGAGUUGGCUAGAGCAAGCGGCUCGAGAGCACCAGUUACAGAAUUUUCUAGGAUUUAAAUAUUAUCAUCUAGAGGUUUCCCACUGGUUACUUGGUGGACAUCCUAUGUAAAUGAAGAGGAUGAAGUGAAGUUACAAGAUUAUUUACUUGGUGUACACCCUAUGCAAAUGAAGAGGAUGUUUCCUGCCAUAGCUGAGCAGAUAGCCCAGACUACCCCACUGCCGGAGUCUCCUGCUGACCUUGAAAGAGCAAACUGACAAUGUAGCAGGGACUAGCAGGUGGCUUUUAAGGAAGUGGAAAAUAGCCCCCAGCUGACAACCAACAAGAAAGUAUGUCUUUGUGCCUACAACUGCA
Molecule: long non-coding RNA, 6976 nt
Organism: Symphalangus syndactylus (siamang)
Lineage: Eukaryota; Metazoa; Chordata; Mammalia; Primates; Hylobatidae
Source: RefSeq, a predicted model, not a curated record